GUUUUCCUUAGAAUGGUGAAGCUCCGUGUAAAACGAUAAAAAUUGUCACACAACAGCGAUCAAAAAUGUCAAAUAAACAUCGAAAAAUCAUUGUUUGCUACCUGGAUUUUCACAUGUACCUUUUCUGAUAUAUAGUCUUACCUGUCUGAAAGUUUCAAAGCCAUUGUCCCAGUAGAAAUCCAAAUAUAUUCAUUUUCUCCAUGUCGGAUAUUUUUAUUGACUGUACAAUCGCUCGCAAGUUGACUGUAAUAUCACUCGGAGCCUUCCUGUAAAUCACUUGGAGCUUUCCUGUAGAAUUGCUUGGCCAAAUUUAUUAAAUACAUUGCAUAUGCAUUGUAUUGGUUGUGUAUUGCUGUCCUAUUUGUUCAUCUAUGGUAUUUGAAGUGAAAAUAAGCACAAAACCAGUCAUUUUGACAAUUAAGAUUCUAUCAAGGAACCCUAUUAAGGUGACUAUAUCAGAGACAAAAACAAAACGUGUACACUACACAUAAAAAAGAAGAUGUGGUAUGAUUGCCAAAGAGACAACUUUCCACAAGAGACCAAAAUGACACAGAAAUUACCAACUAUUAUAGGUCACCGUACGGUCGUCAACAAUGAAUAAAGCCCAUACCGC
This 613-nucleotide long non-coding RNA is filed under the name Mytilus galloprovincialis (Mediterranean mussel). Lineage: Eukaryota; Metazoa; Mollusca; Bivalvia; Mytilida; Mytilidae. The record is from RNAcentral.